Molecule: ribosomal RNA, 305 nt
Filed under: uncultured bacterium
Lineage: Bacteria
Description: bacterial SSU rRNA
Rfam family: Bacterial small subunit ribosomal RNA
Source: RNAcentral
GCCUACCUACGGGACGCAGCAGUAGGGAAUUUUCGUCAAUGGGCGCAAGCCUGAACGAGCAAUGCCGCGUGAACGAGGAAGGUCUUCGGAUCGUAAAGUUCUGUUGAAGGGGAAAAAGAGCGGAGAGAGGAAAUGAACUCCGAUUGAUAUUACCCUUCGAGGAAGUCACGGCUAACUACGUGCCAGCAGCCGCGGUAAUACGUAGGUGGCGAGCGUUAUCCGGAAUGAUUGGGCGUAAAGGGUGCGUAGGCGGCCUGCUAAGUCUGGAGUGAAAGGUACCGGCUCAACCGUUACAGGCUCUGGAA